AACGAACGCUGGCGGCAUGCCUAACACAUGCAAGUCGAACGAGACCUUCGGGUCUAGUGGCGCACGGGUGCGUAACGCGUGGGAACCUGCCCUUAGGUUCGGAAUAACUCCCCGAAAGGGGUGCUAAUCCCGGUUAUUGUCUCCGGACAAAAGAUUUAUCGCCUUUGGAUGGGCCCGCGUGGGAUUAGCUAGUUGGUAGGGUAAAAGCCUACCAAGGCGACGAUCCAUAGCUGGUCUGAGAGGAUGAUCAGCCACACUGGGACUGAGACACGGCCCAGACUCCUACGGGAGGCAGCAGUGGGGAAUAUUGGACAAUGGGCGAAAGCCUGAUCCAGCAAUGCCGCGUGAGUGAUGAAGGCCUUAGGGUUGUAAAGCUCUUUUACCCGGGAUGAUAAUGACAGUACCGGGAGAAUAAGCUCCGGCUAACUCCGUG
This 433-nucleotide ribosomal RNA is filed under the name uncultured bacterium. Its description in RNAcentral is "partial 16S ribosomal RNA". It matches the Rfam family "Bacterial small subunit ribosomal RNA", at positions 29 to 507 of the family's 1533-position model. The record is from RNAcentral.